RNAcentral lists this unclassified non-coding RNA (512 nucleotides) under Hevea brasiliensis (rubber tree). The record is from RNAcentral. Lineage: Eukaryota; Viridiplantae; Streptophyta; Magnoliopsida; Malpighiales; Euphorbiaceae.
GCGUGUUGGUUUUAGGCAGAAAGCCAAAAUCCCAAACCCAACGCGUCCGAGUCAAAUCGCUCCCCUCCAACUCGUCACCAUCUUCUUCAAAUUUUAUUAAAAAUUUUUUUUUAAAAAUCACUAGCAAACCAUCAUGAAUUGAUCGAUAUACAUCAAGAUCCGGCGUCGUUUUCUCCGAUUAAAUUGGACCUGAACAUUGGUGGAUUUUCCAUUACCGGAGAAGCUGAUAUUGUGAGAAUUGGACAAGCAUGAGUUUUGUGUUUCGAGGGACUAGAGCUGAUUUAGAAAAUGGCUUCCCAGGAUUUGUCCCUGAGCGGCGAGCGGUGCGUGUCCAUACAACGCGGCCUGUUAAUUCCAACUCUCUUGUUUUUCUUGUCACAGUUCUUUUGUUAUUCAUGAUACUGAACUCGCAACAAAUGUCACCUAACUUUAUGCUUUGGUUAGUGCUUGGUGUAUUUUUGAUGGCUACAACUCUAAGAAUGUAUGCAACUUGUCAACAACUUCAAGCUCAG